RNAcentral lists this long non-coding RNA (693 nucleotides) under Brachypodium distachyon (stiff brome). RNAcentral describes it as "long non-coding RNA (BDIS_LNC001247)". Lineage: Eukaryota; Viridiplantae; Streptophyta; Magnoliopsida; Poales; Poaceae. The record is from RNAcentral.
CCCCAUAAUUAUUAUCUCAUAGACUCAUUCUACCUUGAAAUGUGUGAUGUGAUGGUAACAUAUCAAGUUACUCCAAAGCUCUCUCUCCUCAUUUAAUACAUGCAUACCACAUCACCAGAUUGCUUAGUUGGCGUUCUAUGUUAUCACCUAUGUUAUUCCCACUACGAGUAGUCCGGUGAAUGCAUUUUGCUUUUUUUUAUUGGUUGGAUUGCACAUUGUAUUUCGUCAAAAUAUAUUCUGCCAUUAUGACCACACCGAAUAGUUUCGACUUCGUCGCAGGGUCAGUGAUGCGCUAGCUAGAUCUUCUUGAUUCUGUCUGGGCGGAUCUAGGAUCGUCAUUCAGCCCUCUUCGUUGCUUUCUAUAGGAUGUUGGUUUGUUUCUCGUAUCAUUGUUGCCGGCGUUUUUUGGUUCUGACCAGUGACUUUCCAUCUGCUAUGUUUUCAACAACUUUUUUUUUUGCUCCGACGUGUUUAGAACUCUAGAAGCAACAUCGAGAUUCGCUCAUGUGCCACCUGUGAGUGCAGAAGGAAGAUGACAUCUUUUUUGUUUUCACACAAAAAUUUGAAUAAUUCUCUUUUAGUUUAAGGAUAGUGCUAUAAAAUUUGGAUAAUUUAAUAUAUGGCCUUAUCUUUCACACGAAGUUUCCUCUUCCUCGAGAAAAAAAGAAGAGAAAAAAUUGUGUGACGACUUGA